RNAcentral lists this ribosomal RNA (432 nucleotides) under uncultured bacterium. Its description in RNAcentral is "partial 16S ribosomal RNA". It matches the Rfam family "Bacterial small subunit ribosomal RNA", at positions 338 to 795 of the family's 1533-position model. The record is from RNAcentral.
CCUACGGGGGGCUGCAGUCGAGAAUUUUUCUCAAUGGGGGAAACCCUGAAGGAGCGACGCCGCGUGAAGGAUGAAGGUCUUCGGAUUGUAAACUUCUGUCAUUAGAGAACUAGUAUCUGAAGAGGAAGAGACGGCUAACUCUGUGCCAGCAGCCGCGGUAAUACAGAGGUCUCAAGCGUUGUUCGGAUUCAUUGGGCGUAAAGGGUGCGUAGGUGGCAAGGUAAGUUGGAUGUGAAAUCCCGGGGCUUAACCCCGGAACUGCAUUCAAUACUGCCCUGCUAGAGUACUGGAGAGGAGAUUGGAAUUUACGGUGUAGCAGUGAAAUGCGUAGAUAUCGUAAGGAAGACCGGUGGCGAAGGCGGAUCUCUGGACAGUACUGACACUGAGGCACGAAGGCCAGGGGAGCAAACGGGAUUAGAUACCCUUGUAGUC